Molecule: long non-coding RNA, 8270 nt
Filed under: Triticum aestivum (bread wheat)
Lineage: Eukaryota; Viridiplantae; Streptophyta; Magnoliopsida; Poales; Poaceae
Description: long non-coding RNA (TAES_LNC011735)
Source: RNAcentral
UUUCAUAACUAUUUAACCGUAACUCCGAAUUUAAUGUUCUUUAUAUGUAAAUGGGGUGGAAAAAUGCCUAGUUUAACAUGGUGCACUUUGUUUUAUUGUUUAACAACUUUAAAAUAUGUUUUAGGGCAGAACAGUAGCAAAUUCAUAAAUUGCAUAUGAGGUUUUUCCGAAAAUAUUGUUUGUUGUUCCGGCCUCAUUUAAACUUGCCUAAAUAUUUAGUUUACUUUUGUUACACCCCUUGACAUGUUUAACAACAUUUAACAUUGUUGUGUACCUAAACGAGAGCGAACUAAAUAACUCGGAUGUGGUGUUUCGUCAAUAUGCAACUCGUUGCAUAUUGAGCUCCACUUAACUUGUAGUAUUGUGUGUUGCACUUUGCCAUGCCAUGCCCCAUUAAACCGGACAUGCAUCAUAAUUGAUUGUGCAUCAUGCCAUAUUUAUGCUUGUGUGUUUAACAUGUUGUUUGUUUCUUUCCGGUGUUGCUUCUUAGUCCCGGUAAUGUUGCGAUUGUGAGGAUUCAUUCGACUACGUCCAUUUGUCUUCUUCAUGGACUCGUUCUUCUUCCUAGCGGGAUUUCAGGCAAGAUGACCGCUACCCUGGAUCUCACUACUAUCAUUGAUAUGCUAGUUGCUUCGUUCUAUCGCUAUGUUGCGCUACCUAUCAUUUUGUUCUAUCAAGCCUCCCAAAUUGCCAUGAACCUCUAACCUUUGACACCAUUCCUAGCAAACCGUUGCUUGGCUAUGUUACCGCUUUGCUCAGCCCUCUUAUAGCGUUGCUAGUUGCAGGUGAAGUUGAAGAUUGCUCCAUGGUGGAUAGGGUUAUGUUGGGAUAUUACAAUAUCUCUUAUAUUAUUAAUGCAUCUAUAUAUUUGGUAAAGGGUGGAAGGCUCGGCCUUAUGCCUGGUGUUUUGUUCCACUCUUGCCGCCCUAGUUUCUGUCAUACCGGUGUUAUGUUCCCGGAUUUUGCGUUCCUAACGCGGUCGGGUGAUUUAUGGGACCCCCUUGACAGUUCGCUUUGAUAAAACUUGUCCAGCAAGGCCCAACCUUGGUUUUACCAUUUGCCUCACCACCACCUAUACCCUUCCCUUGGGUCGGCCAACCCGAGGGUCAUCUUUAUUUUAGCCCCCCCGGGCCAGUGCUUGUCUAAGUGCUGGUCCGAACUGAGUAGACCGCGGGGCCCCCUCGGGGCAACUCGAGGUCUGGUUUUACUCGUAGGAUGUCUCAUCUGGUGUUACCCUGAGAACGAGAUAUGUGCAGCUCCUAUCGGGAUUGUCGGCGCAUCGGGCGGCUUUGCUGGUCUUGUUUUACCAUUGUCGAAAUGUCUUGUAAACCGGGAUUCCAAGACUGAUCGGGUCUUCCUGGGAGAAGGUCUAUUCCUUCGUUGAUCACGAGAGCUUGUCAUGGGCUAAGUUGGGACACCCCUGCAGGGUAUAAACUUUCGAGAGCCGUGCCCGCGGUUAUGUUGCAGAUGGGAAUUUGUUAAUGUCCGGUUGUAGAUAACUUGACACCAGAUCCGAAUUAAAAUGCAUCAACCGCGUGUGUAGCCGUGAUGGUCUCUUCUCGGUGGAGUCCGGGAAGUGAACACGGUUUCUGGGUUAUGUUUGACGUAAGUAGGUGUUCAGGAUCACCUCUUGAUCAUUGCUAGCUUCACGACUGUUCCUUUGUUUCUCUUCUCGCUCUCAUUUGCGUAUGUUAGCCACCAUAUAUGCUUAGCCGCUGCUGCAACCUCACCACUUUACCCCUUCCUUACCCAUUAAGCUUUGCUAGUCUUGAUACCCAUGGUAAUGGGAUUGCUGAGUCCUCGUGGCUCAUAGUUACUUCCAAAACCAGUUUGCAGGUACCAAUGUUACCAAGCAGGUGACGCCACCAAGCUCAAGGAGGAGCUCGAUGAAGAUCUUGCCCUUUGUGUUGUUUCGUUCUAGUUGAUCAGUAGUGGAGCCCAGUUGGGGUCGAUCGGGGACCUUUGUCACAUUUGGGGUUCUUCUUUUAUUUUGGUUCCGUAGUCGGACCUUGAUUGUAUCUGUAUGAUGUAAUGCUUUACUCAUGUAUUGUGUGAAGUGGCGAUUGUAAGCCAACUAUGUAUCUCUUUCCCUUAUGUAUUACAUGGGUUGUGUGAAGAUUACCUCACUUGCGACAUUGCUUUCAAUGCGGUUAUGCCUCUAAGUCGUGCUUCGACACGUGGGAGAUAUAGCCGCAUCGAGGGCGUUACAAGUUGGUAAUCAGAGCCUUCCCCGACCUUAGGAGCCCCACUGCUUGAUCGUUUUUAGCGGCCAAGUUGUGUCUAGAAAAAUGUUUUGAGUCAUUUAGGAUUAUAUAUAUCGGAGAGUUAGGAAUUCUUUUUACUCCCCAGUCUCUUCAUCGCUCUGGUAAGGCAUCCUGACGUAGAGUUUUGACUCUUCUCUUCUCAAAUUUCACUAAAUUUUUUUUAGGAUCACGCGGGUAUCUUGGAAUCAUUCCGAUGGUUUUAUGAUGAGAACAUUGUCUUGGUGCCUUCUGUCAGGGGUUUAGUGGAAGUGUCCUGGGGAGUUGAGCUCUGAGGUGUUGUCGUCAUAAUUUUAUCGUUGCAGUUCUGGAAUACCUGAGUUUAGUACGCCGACAUCGAAAAUCUCUUUUAUGCAGUUGUUGUUGAGAUAACCCCGAUAACCCAGUACUGAGGUGAGUACGGGAGUAUUGCCAUAACUUGUAUAACGGAUGCUUUUCGAAGGUUGAGGUACACGAUUUCCGAAGGUUUCUUGGUUAUGUUUUGACGGAUGGAUACAGCUUGGAUGUAGGUAUUGUUAGUUUGGGUGAGAUAUAUUGCUUCCCGUGUAUCCCCAACACCAGAUUGCAUAACCAGAAAGUUUCGGGAGUUUAUAGGUGGGAAUUCAAGUAGCUCCUAGAACAUCUUUCCGACAGAUGCAUGAUAUGGGAUUGGGUAAAUCUCUAUCAUAUGUUUGUUCCGGCUUAUUCUGCAAGCCAGUCCUUUGUUUUUGUUUUGAGUUGUGGUAUUCGAGUUGCUUCAAUGUCAAGUGUUGAUUCCAUACCUUUCCGAAAUGGUGUUCUCAUACUCCGAUGUGAAUACCAAUCCUUCUCGACAAUCGAGAUUGUCAUGUCAAUCCUUUUCAACCGGCGUGUUUCUCUUCAAGUGGAUCAGAUCACUUCAACAUCAGCAAGACCAAUUAUCAUUUCUUCUCAACGGUGUUUGUUUCAUCCGUCUCCAAGUUGCCUUUGUUUUUCCCGCCCACCCUCCCUUUUUCCUCAAGGACUAAGAUUUCUUUACCAAGUAUCCUUUUAUUUUUGUGAAGUUUCUCCAUUCUUUUCCGUCAAUGUUCUUACCCGGUGGUUCUCAAGAAGAUGUUCUACUAGUUCGUCAUUCCUCAUUCCUUUCUCUUCUCCGGUGGAUUCAAGUCAAGUUUUGUUGAUCAUACCUUUUUCCUCAUUUCAAUGUCUUCUCAUACCGGUGCACCUCAUUAUCAUUCUACUUCUCGCUAUUUGUUAUUCCGGAGUGCUCAAGAUAUCUCAAAGAUUCGUGUUUCCACUCUGCAUUCGUUCAAGCUCUUUCGAGAUUGGUAUCUCAUUCAAGUCAUUUAAUUCAACCGGUGCAACAUCUCUUUUAAAUCUUUGCAACGGUGUUCUUUUGAGUGGGCCCUAACCCACAGGUCUUUUCCCAGGAUCUUACCUGACUCUUCUAUUUUCCCAGAGCUAUCCUAAAUUCUUCUCCAAGUUUGACGUAAGAAUGAGUUAUCAUCAGUCAAAUGCUUUUCUCCAAGAUCUUUCAAAUUCUUUUCAUAGUUGGCUCAACCUCUUCGCUUUUGAUUCUUCCGGUGUGCCUCAAUAAUUCUUGGUGGUGUUUUUCAUUGUCAUUCUCAACAUUUGAAGACCGUAGACGGAUUUCUCUUAAAUCUUGGUCCAUUCUCUUGAAGGUUCAUGGCUCUAGCUUCAUGCUAUCAUCAUAAUUGUUUUGAUUGUGACUAUUCUUUUCACCCAUCCGGAGCAUUUCAUGAGUUGUUUCCAUUUCUUUCCUCCGAAGGCCAUCAUGUCAUAAUUCUUCAUUCUCAGCGUGUAGCUAUCGUUCUCCAAAUCUUACCGGUGAUUUGUUUAAAUAUCCUCUAAUCAGUUCAUGUUCUCUUCGUUCUCAUGUAUCUAAAUCCCCUCAAAUAUCUUCAUUUGUUUUCCAAUUCUUCCCGGUGAAUUGUGCCUUUGCUACAUUCAUUUUCAAUUCUUACGGUGGUUCGUUAAAGAUUUCACUUCCUUCAUUAUCUUAUCAAUUCAUUCGUUGUUUUCAAAUCCUACUGGUGGAUCGUUGAAGACUUUUCUCAAGUUUGCUCUAUAUCUUCUUAAUCCUUUCUAGAAGAAUAAGUAGUAUGCCAACUCCAUUGCUUAUCAUCAAUUUAAUUUGAUGAAGGAUAAACAUACAAUAAAUCUUAUUCUUAUUUCCUCGAGGUGAUUCAAUUCUUUUUUUCCGGAGAUUAUUCAUCAUGAAUAAAUUCUUGAUUACAAGUGAUUCAUCUUUCUUUCCGGAGUUUGUUCAUCAUAUCACAUUCUCGGUUUCAUGUGUUUCAUGUUUUCUUUUCCGGAGUUCCAAGUUUUCCGCAUUAUCUCGUCACGAAGCUCCAUCUAAAUCAUUGCAACGCUUCACCUUGUGUUUUCAACUUCUCUUUCUUUUCAUCAUCCUUCUAUUACCGGAGUUCUUCAUGGAGGCUCUAAAUGGUGGGUCGUCAAGGAUUCUUUUCAUUCUUCAAUUGUUCUUCAAGAUUUCGCUCGAAGUUAUGAUCCGCCAAGCUAUACUCAAAAGUAAACAGGGUGCCCAACACUUGUUUUGUUUUGAGAAGCUCAAGUAUUCUCCGUCUUGCAUUCCAAAGUGCAAUUCCUUCUAUCUUAUCUUUUGAGAUAGUGUUAUGUCACUCUUGACAAUUUCCUUCAUGUUUCAUGAUUCAUAUUGUUGUCAAGAAUGAGGUAUUUUAAAUCCAGCAGUCUCUUCACUGGAUUUAUAUUGGGUUAUAUUUCACCUAAAGCCUUCCCCAAGGAAUGUUGCUAUUUUGUGGUGAUUACGCAUGACCCAAGCUUACUCUUUAUCCUCUUGGUGGAAGAAGUUUUCAUCUCUUCGUUGAUCUCAAGCAAGCAAUUGUUUUCGUUAGUGGCAGAAUUUCACCUCAAGUGUUGAGAUGUUUUCCAUAAGCCACAACAAGUUUGUGCUUCUCGUUGUUGAUUUUCCAACAACUCCGUUCGAUUCUUCUUUGCAAGGAUGCUUUCCAGGUUCACUUGUGGAAAAAGUUGUCAUUUUCUUCUCCGUCCCUUUAUCCCAAUGAUCUAACUUCUAUUCUUUCGUUACGGAGACAUUGUGAUGUUGUGCUCUUCACUCAUCACCUCGUUUUUUUUGAGGAUCGUGUUCUUUUCUUGUUUAUCCAUUUAACCGGAGUGUUGUAUCAUCUCUUCAAUAUCUCUUCAUCUCAUCAAGCUUUUCUACCGGAGUGCUGUCCAAAUUCUGUCAUUCUUGUUCCUUGGCUAUCUCACUAUACCGAGGUGGUCAUAUUCUUUUCGUUCGUGAAGCUCUUUUUUCCAUGUCUUUCAACCUUCAAGUUCUCGUAAUACUCCUUGUUCCUCUUUUCUAACGAAUUGUUUGCAAUCUCGUUCAUCUCUGUUGUACUCUUUCUUUUAAAUUGCUCAACCUCUCAAGGUUUGUGGUUUCACUAGUUCGUCAAAGAAGCAACUUAGUUUUACCUCUUCUCUUCCUCUUUCUUUUCCCUCCGGUGCCAUCCUAGAUCUCGGGACGAGAUCCUCUCGUAGUGGUGGAGUGUUGUAACGCCCCGGAUGUAACUUUCCAUAUUCGUAACUCCAACUCCUGCCUUUUCCGGAGAUGCGAUAUAUUAUUUUCUCCGUGGUUGGGUUUUUGUCUUUCGUUUUGCAUUUUGUUCAUGUCAUGCAUUUCAUCAUCGCAUCAUUCGCAUUGCAUCGGCAUUGUUUUCAUAAAACUUGCAUUCGCUCGUAGUUGUUGCUUCUUCCUUGUUCCUGUUGACCCCUCUCAGAUCAACCGGACCGCUCUCUUCUCUCUCUUUUCUGAGCCCAUCAAAACCCUUUGUCUCCAUGGCGUUUCGUCAAACCCCUCUUGCGUGCGUCCGAAAACUCCCCUGAACCCGACCCGGGCAGUCAUUACCAUUGGGUCCGGAUCAUCCCCUAACGUCUACAAAACAUCUCUGUUUUGUUAUUUGGGCUCCCUAACUAUUUUAUUCGCGACCGUCCGAUUUUAAUCGAAGGGACCAAAUGACCCUAAGCCUACCCACUCGCUAUAUAUAGCAGUCUAACCCUAGAUCCUAGGGGCUUGUCCCAUCCAUUCCCCUCCUUGCGCCGCCACUAACUCCACCUGGUCUCCCCCACCUCGGGAUCUUGCCCGAUCCAAAAUUCCUCAUCGGGAUCCCCUGCCCGAUCCACCCAACCAGCUCGCAGCCGCCUCCCCUUCCCUGCUCCCGUGCGUGUCCAGCACCACAGGAGAGGUGCUCCUCGAGCCCUUGAUCUAGCGCGCAGAUGCCCGAGCGCUCCUCCUCGUGACCCACCGCCUCGGCGAACCGUCACGGUCGGCGACCACUUCCAUCAGGCCGGACCCCGCUCCCCUCGUUGCUUCUCCUUCUCCCGUUCCCUCCGUUUUCCCUCUCUCACUUGCUCUCUGUCAUCUCCAGGAAACUGCAGGAGGCAAGCACCAUGCAAUGGCCUCCCCUGCUCGACGACCGCGUCGCUGUCGUCGACUUCGCGCCCAUCCCCGCCUGAUUCUGCAGCACCGCCGCCCGUCUUCUUCGUUCACGGCAAGCUUUGCCGCUGUCCUGCUCGAGCUGCCAAGUCCCUGUUGCCUCGCCGCUGUACCCCGUCCUCGACCUCAUUCAGCAGCCCCCGCCGCAAGCCGCGACCUCCACAGCCUCCUCCCGAAUCUGCUCCGCCUCGCCUCUGCCGGAUCGGAGCAGCACCGGACCAGCAGGACCGUGCCCUUCCUCUCCAGCCUCCCCUCUGUUUUCUUCUAGAUCACCGGCAACGCUCUCUCUCAGAAUCUCUCUUCUCUCUCGCUUCUCUCCACAGGGAACCGAAGCCAUGGCCGCCGGCCAUCCAUGGUCGCCGCCGCAAGGAUUUGCUUGCCUCCGCUGCCUCCGCGCCAUCCCUGUCGCCGGAGGAUGCAGCCCCGCCGCUUCCAAGUCCUAUGCUUCGCCCGUGGUCGAGUGAGACGACCAUAAACGCAGCCGCAUUGACCGCCCGCUCGCCAGCGCCUCUCUGCCUCGCUGGCAAGGCCCAGCCUGCUCCAGCUCCUCAUCCGGCCUGCCAGGCCUCUCCACCAGCUAGGCCGAGGCCCAUGGUGAGACCCUCCCCCAGCGCCCAUGUCCUGUUUCGGCCUGUGCUCUAAUUCAGCCCGCAUGUGUUUUUUUUACUGCUGCGAAUUUAAUAUUAUCCAUUGUAUUACUGAUUUACAGAAAACCCCUCCAUGUUCAUGCAUAUAAUAACUCAUUAUCCGUGCGUCAUAUGUAAAUAAUUUAUAUAUGUGAUAUGCUUAGAAAAUUGUGUAGAUUAACAAUAUGCCACUUUCAUCCCAUGUUAAUAUGUUUAACAUGUUGUUUACAUUAAUUUUCUCCUAUGCCAUGCUAAAAUGAUUUAUUUCAUAACUGUUUAACCGUAACUCCGAAUUUAAUGUUCUUUAUAUGUAAAUGGGGUGGAAAAUGCCUAGUUUAACAUGGUGCACUUUGUUUUAUUGUUUAACAACUUUAAAAUAUGUUUUAGGGCAGAACAGUAGCAAAUUCAUAAAUUGCAUAUGAGGUUUUUCCGGAAAUGUUGUUUGUUGUUCCGGCCUCAUUUAAACUUGCCUAAAUAUUUAGUUUACUUUUGUUACACCCCUUUACAUGUUUAACAACAUUUAACAUUGCUGUGUACCUAAACGAGAGCGAACUAAAUAACUCGGAUGUGGUGUUUCGUCAAUAUGCAACUCGUUGCAUAUUGAGCUCCACUUAACUUGUAGUAUUGUGUGUUGCACUUUGCCAUGCCAUGCCUCAUUAAACCGGACAUGCAUCAUACUUGAUUGUGCAUCAUGCCAUAUUUAUGCUUGUGUGUUUACCAUGUUGUUUGUUUCUUUCCGGUGUUGCUUCUUAGUCCCGGUAAUGUUGCGAUUGUGAGGAUUCGUUCGACUACGUCCGUUUGUCUUCUUCAUGGACUCGUUCUUCUUCCUAGCGGGAUUUCAGGCAAGAUGACCGCUACCCUGGAUCUCACUACUAUCAUUGCUAUGCUAGUUGCUUCGUUCUAUCGCUAUGUUGCGCUACCUAU